AUUACGAUAAGUUAGACUGAAAUAUUCUCUAGAACUUCAAAAAAAAAACAAAAAAAAUACAUAUUUUUGACUUCUAUAAUUAAUUUUUGGCAAAGUGAAGUGCCUAAAUGUAGUAGUAGUUUGCGAAAAUGGUUUAGUUGCAUUUUCAUAUGCAUCUAAUUUCAAUUUAUCACUUCAUAAUUCACCAACGUUAGGAUGUUUUUAAAAAAAAAAAAAAAAUAUGUGUGGAUGUACAUAUUGCAUUUUGGAGAGUGCCGUUAUCCAGUGGAGAACCUUUUUUUUUUUUCGUUUCGUUUUUUUAUAUAUAUAUCUUUAUGUAUAUAUUUGCAGUUUUGCAUGUUUUGUUUGGGUGUUCGGUGUUCUAUCCUUCGUUUGAAAAAAGUUUUCAUAUAUAUAGUGAUCAAGUCGGAGAUUUUUUUUUUUUUUUUUUUUUACUAAGUAUACAUUCAUCC
Molecule: long non-coding RNA, 452 nt
Filed under: Androctonus crassicauda
Lineage: Eukaryota; Metazoa; Arthropoda; Arachnida; Scorpiones; Buthidae
Source: RNAcentral